UCAAGAAAGAAAGAAAGUGGUGCUUCGCCUAAACUAACAAGUGAGUGGGCCCAGCUCUCAGCCACAGCGUUGAGCCCCCCGCAGAAGUUGGACGCCCAUCGUCUCACGGACCCCCUUGAGGACCCAGAAGGCUCCCAGGCGCUCCUGAGAUGACAGACCCAGAGACCGAGACGUUAGCUCCGGAGCUGGCCUCAACAGUCCCGGCUCCAUGGACGCGGUGUCCCCGCCUUCAGCCUCACGACUGUUCCCCGGCCGGCCGAUUCAGACGAGUCCAGAGGACGCCAGCAUCAGACCUCCUCCUGACGGGUGCGCGGAGCAAGAUCAUCUGCAUUAGUCAUUGUGGAUAAUGUCAUCAUGGAAAUUGAGUUAUCCUCUGGACACUGGUACAUGUGGACACCUAAACAGGGCAAACUCUGAAAAUGUGUACAGUCACAAUGUAAUUUGCCAUAUAAAUGGACAGAUGUGAUGUGAUGUGCAGCUUUUUCGAACAGGCAUUGAAUUGUUACCCGUGUGGCAUGAGUACAUAAAUUAUACAUUUUGAAUGUGUGUGUGGUUGUGUAUAAUCAUAUGCAUAUAUUAUAAAAAAUAUAACUUUUAUACUGUAAUAAUAUUGUCUCACCUUCAGAAAAUUCAA
Xyrauchen texanus (razorback sucker) is the source of this 634-nucleotide long non-coding RNA. RefSeq lists it as uncharacterized. Lineage: Eukaryota; Metazoa; Chordata; Actinopteri; Cypriniformes; Catostomidae. The record is from RefSeq and is a predicted model, not a curated record. The transcript has 3 exons.